Lactuca sativa (garden lettuce) is the source of this 518-nucleotide non-coding RNA. The record is from RefSeq and is a predicted model, not a curated record. NCBI's taxonomy places the organism in Eukaryota, Viridiplantae, Streptophyta, Magnoliopsida, Asterales, Asteraceae.
GAUUAGGGCUACAAAAAUUUCAUUUAACCGUCGCUUUCCACCUUGCUAAUCUCAGCCUUACCAGAGAUUGCAGGCGAUUUUGAUGUGUCUCUUCUUUAUUUAAUCAAAUUCACGAUGAUGUGAUUUAUGGAAGAAAGUUUCACAAGUAGACCCAAAGACAAAAACGAGUUAACAACGUUCAACUGGUAUUGGGUGCAGGGUUUGCUUCUAUCACGUGCUAAGCUUUUGUAGGUACCUCGUUUUCUAAGGAAAUGAGUCGGUUCAAUCGCAGCGCAUCACACUAUGUUUUCCGCACAUGAGAUCUUUGGUACCUCUUCGUCUAAGGGGAAGGAGUCGGUGGCGUAGCAUGGCAUCACACACACAUCUGGUUUUCCGCACGAUGUUUUCUGGGAUUGUACUCUGAUAUGAUAUUUGUUUAUGUUGUGGGUUUCAAACAUGAUACUUGAUUUUAUGAGAUGACGUGUUAUACAAUAUUUUCUAGUGAAUGUUUUAUGAGUUAAUUAAUUAAAAAGGAAAUU